UGCGGAGUAGGGGAGCUCGGUCGUCCCCGCGGGACCCAUAACCCCGAGACCGGCGGUUCAAAUCCGCCCUCCGCCA
Molecule: transfer RNA, 76 nt
Filed under: Actinoplanes sp. SE50/110
Lineage: Bacteria; Bacillati; Actinomycetota; Actinomycetes; Micromonosporales; Micromonosporaceae
Also listed under: 1 other name
Description: tRNA-fMet (CAT) (tRNA-fMet-CAT-3-1)
Rfam family: tRNA
About the family: Transfer RNA (tRNA) molecules are approximately 80 nucleotides in length. Their secondary structure includes four short double-helical elements and three loops (D, anti-codon, and T loops).
Source: Rfam by way of RNAcentral